AUGAGUUUGUAUCACUGUGGUGGACUUUUGGUGGAGGAACCAGACUGGAGGUUGGAACUUGUAGGUUUAGUUCAGUCAGAGAGCAAUGUCUUUCUACAGUCAGAGGUUUUUGUACGACGGCUCAAUGAGUUUGUAUCACUGUGGUGGACUUUUGGUGGAGGAACCAGACUGGAGGUUGGAAGUAAUACCCGUCCCAUCGUGACAGUGCUGCCCCCCUCCAGUGAGGAUCUGCACCAGGGGAAGGCCACCCUCGUGUGUUUGGCCAACAAGGGCUUCCCCUCAGACUGGAGUCUGUCCUGGAAGGUGGAGGGCAGCAUUAACACCUUCACCUGGGAGGAGAACAAGAGCAAAGUAGUGCAGCAGAAUGAUGGUCUCUACAGCUGGAGCAGCACCCUGAGGCUCCCUGCACACCAGUGGAAGAAGGUCGGCUCUGUGACCUGUGAGGCCACCCAGGGCUCCCAGACUGCAGUCACAGAGACACUGAGGAGAGACCAGUGCUCCCAGUACUGA
Cyprinodon tularosa is the source of this 510-nucleotide non-coding RNA. Lineage: Eukaryota; Metazoa; Chordata; Actinopteri; Cyprinodontiformes; Cyprinodontidae. The record is from the annotation of a RefSeq genome assembly.